CCUACGGGAGGCAGCAGUGAGGAAUAUUGGUCAAUGGACGCAAGUCUGAACCAGCCAUGCCGCGUGCAGGAAGACGGCUCUAUGAGUUGUAAACUGCUUUUGUACGAGGGUAAACGCAGAUACGCGUAUCUGUCUGCACGUAUCUUACGAAUAAGGAUCGGCUAACUCCGUGCCAGCAGCCGCGGUAAUACGGAGGAUUCAAGCGUUAUCCGGAUUUAUUGGGUUUAAAGGGUGCGUAGGCGGUCGGAUAAGUUAGAGGUGAAAUCCCGAGGCUCAACUUCGGAAUUGCCUCUGAUACUGUUCGGCUAGAGAGUAGUUGCGGUAGGCGGAAUGUAUGGUGUAGCGGUGAAAUGCUUAGAGAUCAUACAGAACACCGAUUGCGAAGGCAGCUUACCAAGCUACUUCUGACGUUGAGGCACGAAAGCGUGGGGAGCAAACAGGAUUAGAUACCCCUGUAGUC
This 460-nucleotide ribosomal RNA is filed under the name uncultured bacterium. Its description in RNAcentral is "partial 16S ribosomal RNA". It matches the Rfam family "Bacterial small subunit ribosomal RNA", at positions 338 to 795 of the family's 1533-position model. The record is from RNAcentral.